RNAcentral lists this ribosomal RNA (939 nucleotides) under Triticum aestivum (bread wheat). Its description in RNAcentral is "partial small subunit ribosomal RNA". The record is from RNAcentral. Lineage: Eukaryota; Viridiplantae; Streptophyta; Magnoliopsida; Poales; Poaceae.
AUGAGCAUUCUCAGUAGUUUCGGCGACGCUUCUGGCCUGAAGAUCAACAAUGCAAAGUCCACGGCGACUCCGAUCUGCUGCAAUAACGUCGACCUCAACGCUGUUCUUCAGUCUUUCGGAGGGCCGGUGACGCAGUUUCCAAUUAGAUAUUUAGGUCUUCCACUUACAAUAGGCCGUCUCCGUCUCGUCCAUCUCCAAUUCAUCCUCGAUCGUAUUAGAGCUAGGCUUGCGGGCUGGAAGGGGAAAUUACUAUCCAUUGCCGGUCGUAGAGUUCUUGUCAGAUGUGUUCUUACUGCCAUGCCAAUGUUCGCCCUAACGGCACUGCGCUUCCCUGCCAAGCUUCUCAAGGAAAUCGACAAGUGUAGACGCCGCUUCUUCUGGGGUCAGGAUAUGGAGCUCUCAGGCGAUAGCUGCAAGGUUAGCUGGGGGCGGGCCUGCACGCCGAUUGAGCAGGGCGGGCUGGGCAUCCUCGACCUGACAAAAUUCAGCAGCGCCCUAAGACUUCGAUGGCUUUGGCACGCCUGGAAAAGCCUGGAGCGACUGUGGGCAGGGACGGGGCCACCCUGCGACGACUCCGACAGGGCCCUUUUUUGCGCGGCCACCAAAGUGGAUAUUGGCAACGGCUGGACGGCCAGUUUUUGGCACUCGGCAUGGAUCGAGGCGUCACCUCUGAAGAUCCUCUACCCCAACCUUUUCAAGCUCUCCAGGCGGAAGAACAUGUCUGUUGCUAACGCGCUGCUGCAAGAUCGCUGGAUCGCCGACCUAGCACACGGCGACGCCAGCCCAAUCGCCCGGGACGUGCUAAAUCUGCAUAGGCGCAUCCAACAGCGCAGUGUAAAUCUCCACGAAGACAGCCAGGACAGCAUUACAUGGAAAUCACAGCCUCAGGACAGUACUCCGUGCGAUCGGCGUACGCUGCUCAGUUCCAGGGCUGUGUAA